GGCCGCCAGGAGCCGCGGGCGCGCGGCCCCCUCCAGCGCCAGCCACGUUGACACCCCCCCGCGGUCUGCCAGCUCUGGGGACGAGGCGUCGCUCAGCUUCUCCACGGGCUCUUUCUCCCGGGGCCACAGUGUUGAAGGCUUUAAAAUAGCAGAAAACAAAAAGCAGUCACCUGUGACAGAUAAUCUCUCACCGUGGGAAGAAUGGUUUAUUUGCAAAGAGAGAGAGCUACGUGCCCGUUUACAAGCCAGAGCUAUGGAGGAAAUUAAUCAACAACUGGAGAAAAGAAAAGAAAAGCAGGAACUUGAAAGAAGAAAAAAGAUUGCAGAAGAGAAACACAAGCAAUGGGUACAGAAAAAGAAUGAAGAGGUAAAUACUGUUUUAAUUCAAUAUCACUUACAAUUCUUAAAGAUAACUGGAUUUAGAAAUGAG
Molecule: long non-coding RNA, 430 nt
Filed under: Crocodylus porosus (Australian saltwater crocodile)
Lineage: Eukaryota; Metazoa; Chordata; Crocodylia; Crocodylidae
Description: lncRNA (ENSCPRG00005007466.1)
Source: RNAcentral